This 2743-nucleotide long non-coding RNA is filed under the name Nicotiana tabacum (common tobacco). RNAcentral's name for it is "long non-coding RNA (NTAB_LNC001898)". The record is from RNAcentral. Lineage: Eukaryota; Viridiplantae; Streptophyta; Magnoliopsida; Solanales; Solanaceae.
UCUUAAGGCACUCUCUAUUUAGCUGCUUCCGCCGCGUCAUCAAAUACCAUAUUCGCCAAUUUUAGUACCCAAUUAAAAAAGAUAACCAAUAACUAAUUUAAUAACUAAUUAUGUCAUGUGUGAUUCAAUUUUAGAUUCUAUUAUUCUGGCAUUUCGCUUGGUUCUUUUGUGUUCUUUUAAUAAUAUAUAGAUAUACAGUUCAUACCAACAAGGUGUAUGAAAUCUAUACCGCUGCGAUCUAAGUUCCUCGUCGCCCAAAACCUAACUGGUCAAAGGUAAGGAACUCUUCAAAAUUUUCAUCUUCCGGGUAGGUAUUAUGCAUUUUGGUUCUCACAUACACGGUGGAUUAUUUGAUGGUGAAUUGGUCUAGGAGUUAUUGUGGGUUUCCAUUAUGUUUUAUUUUUCUGUAAAAAGUUGUAGAUUACUUCAAAUACUCUACAAUUUAGCAUUUCUAUCUCGAUUUAGACAUUGUUUUGAUGAUAUAAUAGUUGGUAAUUUCUGGAAUUUCUAUUCACUUUAGUUUCAGUUUUCUCUUUUAUUUUUGUGCUCUUUGUGUAAUGGGUAUUCUGCAAUUUUGUCUCAUUUCUUACACUGAUUUAUAUUUCUGAUUUGUUAGUAUAAUAAUUAGACUAUGUUGGAUUUUUGGUCACUAUUUGCUUUAAUUUUAUUGCUGGUGGAUUAUAUGCAAAAUAAAGGAAACUCUGGAUCAAGAAAUAUUGUGAAAACUAGUUCCCAAAAUUUUCUUGAGAAGCCAAUGAAUCAAAUGAAAUUAGAACAAGGUAAUUAUGUUUGAUGGAAUCAAUGUUGGCUAAUAAGAAAUUGACAGUCACAGCUCAUGUAUUGCUCUUUAUGAUCCAAAAAAAGUAUAAUAAGUACGUCAUGUAGGAGGUUGAUCUUGUAUAGAUUGUUUUUCAACUAUGACUAAUAAGGAUUAUUCAAUCAAAUUUUGAAAGGUCGAAUAAUACUCUUAAGAAAAGAUUAAAUCAGCCUCUAAUAAGAAUUUAAAAGUAAGAAGUUAACUUGGACUUUCAUAAAUUUUUUGGUAGUAGUUUACAAAUACACAAAGAUAUGCUUUUCUUUAAUACCAUUCUUAUCAGUUGUUCUUUGUCCUCUAAUAUUAUUGUCGCUCCAUCUUAUAAGAUUGUUGUCCCUGUUGCAUUUACUAUUCGCAUUCUCUUCUUUUUUCAAUGAAGUGUAUUCACAUUUUCUUCUUGUGAACAGUAUUGUUCAGGAUAGCUGGGUUGACUUAAACUGUACACUAAUCUGGAAACACAAUUAGGUCUCGAUUUAAUGUGCUGUAUCGUUUCACUUCUGGAUUUUAACCUCUAGAAUCGAUCUAACAAAAUUAAGUUCUUUACAGUUGGACAAAGUUACUUCUAUCCGUGCUGAAUUGAAGUGGCUCAUUAUUAUUGCCAAAUUAUGAUGACAAAUACAAAGGUCUUGCUGCUACGUACGAUAUCGAGUAAGUAUUGUUAAGCUUUAUCACUAGGUGGUAUAUGCCAAUGUUAGUUAAUAAUGUUGCUAUUUCCGUUGUUUAAAUCAAAGUUGCAGGAACUAGCUAGUAAGAAGAGCAAGUACCUAUUAUCCAGAGCUACGACCAAUAGAGCAUCCUCUCUUGAAGGUUAAUUAGCUUACUGAUUGCUAUAGUAUUCUUUAAAUUGAUUAUAGUCUCACCCUAAAUAUCAGCAGAAAACAAAGUAUUAUUGUCCCUUGCUACAAACGAGUAAGAAGUAAUCUUUGGUCCUACUUUAGGAAGCAUUGGAUCAAUCAAGGAUCUUCUGAUAUUUAGACACACAAGAGCCCUAAGCAGUGUGUUUUUUAAAAAUUUGGUUUGAUUCAAAGUCUUGGCUCUUAUUGUCACACUUUAAAGCAGAUAUCAACUAUAAUGUACGAUCCACUCUCCUGCUUCAUUAAGUCCUUAGAAAUGCUAAAUGAAUCAUAUCUUGCAUUUGCAUUGACAAAUAGCUGAAAGAUUUACAAUAAGAAGUGUAAAUGUAAAGUUAUGUGAGAGGGAUGUCUACAAGUUCUAAAAUUUCAGUGUUGUCCCAAAAUUCAUGCUGACAAUAUAACUUUUAAUAUAUAGUACAUUCUGAUUAUGUUGACUUUUCAUAUAGUUUUUUAGGUUCUUAAGUUGAAGAAUCAAGAAAGAAAUGGAUUGUAAGCUAGCAAAGUUGGAUAUAUGAUGAGAAUAAAUUUAGAAGGAUAUCUGUUGUUCAUCCAACUCUAACUAACUUUCUACCCCUAGCGUAGGGGUAAGGUAUACAUAUACACUACCUUCCCAAACUCCACUUGUGGGAUUACACUGGAUUUUUGUUAUUGUUGUUGUUGUUGUUGUUGUAUAAAAUCAAUUCUAGAAAAUAUGUGAUUUCUUUAAGAAAAAUUUCAUAUGACAAGUAAACUUAAGCUGUUUCAUGUGGACAUAAUUCCACCAUUUUCUUAACUUUUUUUUUUAUAAUUGCUAUUGCAGCUUAUGGAGGAGCACAGAAAGCAUCCAGAUCGAUUGGGACAUGAGUGACUAUUUUUUUCUCUUGUAAAAGUAUAUUGAUAUGUUUGAGUAGAGCAACCUUUUAAUAGUUUAAUUUAUUUUGAAUGAUAUUGUUGAACCUUUAGUUAUGUCUUCUUGCUAAUGUAUUGAAAUAUACAUUAUAUUUUAUUAUGUUUGCAUAGACAUGGAGAAGUUCGGAAAAUGUUUUAUCUCAAAUAUAUACAAAGUAUAUUCAGAUUUCAUCAAGAAAUACAUAAA